Molecule: ribosomal RNA, 498 nt
Filed under: uncultured bacterium
Lineage: Bacteria
Description: bacterial SSU rRNA
Rfam family: Bacterial small subunit ribosomal RNA
Source: RNAcentral
AACGAACGCUGGCGGCGCGCCUAACACAUGCAAGUCGAACGAGAAUCCGGGGCAACCCGGUAGUAAAGUGGCAAACGGGUGAGGAAUACAUGGGUAACCUACCCUUGAGAAGGGAAUAACCCGCCGAAAGGUGAGCUAAUACCCUAUACGCUAUCUUUUUUUCGAAAAGGAUAGGAAAGCCGGGUCGAGGACCUGGUACUCAAGGAGGGGCUCAUGUCCUAUCAGCUUGUUGGUGGGGUAACGGCCUACCAAGGCUACGACGGGUAGCUGGUCUGAGAGGAUGAUCAGCCACACUGGCACUGAGAUACGGGCCAGACUCCUACGGGAGGCAGCAGUGAGGAAUAUUGCGCAAUGGGCGAAAGCCUGACGCAGCGACGCCGCGUGGGGGAUGAAGGUUUCGGAUUGUAAACCCCUUUCAUGAGGAAAGAUAAAGUGGGUAACCACUUAGACGGUACCUCAAGAAGAAGCCACGGCUAACUUCGUGCCAGCAGCCGCGGU